Molecule: long non-coding RNA, 246 nt
Filed under: Phoenix dactylifera (date palm)
Lineage: Eukaryota; Viridiplantae; Streptophyta; Magnoliopsida; Arecales; Arecaceae
Description: long non-coding RNA (PDAC_LNC022457)
Source: RNAcentral
GGCUGAAGUCGGCAGCCCCAGCCGACUUCAGCCCCGUCUUCCUCUUUUGGAAGGGGCAGAACAGGGGAUCGCAGACGCGAUCCCCUCCGACUUCUCCGGGCACAAGGACGCCGCGGACCCUCCGCGGCUACAUCGCGGACCCUCCGCGGCUACAUCGCGGUGGUUUCGCGUCCACCCCGCGGCCGCACGAGCGGCCGCUGAUCUCGCUUGGCCGCCGUGAUUCACGCGGCGGAGAGCCAUUACCAU